RNAcentral lists this ribosomal RNA (454 nucleotides) under Escherichia coli. RNAcentral describes it as "bacterial SSU rRNA". It matches the Rfam family "Bacterial small subunit ribosomal RNA", at positions 990 to 1444 of the family's 1533-position model. The record is from RNAcentral. Lineage: Bacteria; Pseudomonadati; Pseudomonadota; Gammaproteobacteria; Enterobacterales; Enterobacteriaceae.
GCGACACUUUCCAGAGAUGGAUUGGUGCCUUCGGGAACUGUGAGACAGGUGCUGCAUGGCUGUCGUCAGCUCGUGUUGUGAAAUGUUGGGUUAAGUCCCGCAACGAGCGCAACCCUUAUCCUUUGUUGCCAGCGGUCCGGCCGGGAACUCAAAGGAGACUGCCAGUGAUAAACUGGAGGAAGGUGGGGAUGACGUCAAGUCAUCAUGGCCCUUACGGCCAGGGCUACACACGUGCUACAAUGGCGCAUACAAAGAGAAGCGACCUCGCGAGAGCAAGCGGACCUCAUAAAGUGCGUCGUAGUCCGGAUUGGAGUCUGCAACUCGACUCCAUGAAGUCGGAAUCGCUAGUAAUCGUGGAUCAGAAUGCCACGGUGAAUACGUUCCCGGGCCUUGUACACACCGCCCGUCACACCAUGGGAGUGGGUUGCAAAAGAAGUAGGUAGCUUAACCUUCG